GAUGAACGCUGGCGGCGUGCCUAAUACAUGCAAGUCGAACGAAACUUCUUUAUCACCGAGUGCUUGCACUCACCGAUAAAGAGUUGAGUGGCGAACGGGUGAGUAACACGUGGGCAACCUGCCCAAAAGAGGGGGAUAACACUUGGAAACAGGUGCUAAUACCGCAUAACCAUAGUUACCGCAUGGUAACUAUGUAAAAGGUGGCUAUACUACCGCUUUUGGAUGGGCCCGCGGCGCAUUAGCUAGUUGGUAGGGUAAAGGCUUACCAAGGCAAUGAUGCGUAGCCGAAUUGAGAGGUUGAUCGGCCACAUUGGGACUGAGACACGGCCCAAACUCCUACGGGAGGCAGCAGUAGGGAAUCCUCCACAAUGGGCGAAAGCCUGAUGGAGCAACGCCGCGUGGGUGAAGAAGGUCUUCGGAUCGUAAAACCCUGUUGUUAGAGAAGAAAGUGCGUGAGAGUAACUGUUCACGUUUCGACGGUAUCUAACCAGAAAGCCACUGCUAACUACGUG
Molecule: ribosomal RNA, 512 nt
Filed under: uncultured bacterium
Lineage: Bacteria
Description: partial 16S ribosomal RNA
Rfam family: Bacterial small subunit ribosomal RNA
Source: RNAcentral